GUGUAUGGUGAUCAUAGCAAUGCAAGGUAUUGGGCUCGAUAAUCCCUUUGAAGACGACUUAAUUGCAUCCGGGUAUUGUAAGUGUUGAGAGUAGGCUUAGUCUUACGAUCCACUGAGAUUCAUCCCGUGUUGCGCCGAUUUGU
Molecule: non-coding RNA, 143 nt
Organism: Perkinsus marinus ATCC 50983
Lineage: Eukaryota; Perkinsozoa; Perkinsida; Perkinsidae
Source: Rfam